RNAcentral lists this transfer RNA (73 nucleotides) under Batrachochytrium salamandrivorans. RNAcentral describes it as "tRNA-Val". It matches the Rfam family "tRNA". From Rfam's summary of the family: Transfer RNA (tRNA) molecules are approximately 80 nucleotides in length. Their secondary structure includes four short double-helical elements and three loops (D, anti-codon, and T loops). Further hydrogen bonds mediate the characteristic L-shaped molecular structure. tRNAs have two regions of fundamental functional importance: the anti-codon, which is responsible for specific mRNA codon recognition, and the 3' end, to which the tRNAs corresponding amino acid is attached (by aminoacyl-tRNA synthetases). tRNAs cope with the degeneracy of the genetic code in two manners: having more than one tRNA (with a specific anti-codon) for a particular amino acid; and 'wobble' base-pairing, i.e. permitting non-standard base-pairing at the 3rd anti-codon position. The record is from RNAcentral. Lineage: Eukaryota; Fungi; Chytridiomycota; Chytridiomycetes; Rhizophydiales.
GCUUUGGUGGUGCAGUGGUUAGCACGCCUCGCUUACACCGAGUAGGUCGUGGGUUCGAUCCCCACCCGAAGCA